UCCCCUAGGUCAGGGAGGCAGAGGCCAUGGCGUGGCGGCCAUCCCACGGCGCCAUGGCCGGAUGGCCACCACGUCGACUCCCCUCGGCCUAUAAGAGCGUCCCCUGGAAACCCUAGCUAGCUCUCGACCGAUCCCCUCACUUUCCCAAUCGAAUCGCCUCCUCCUUGGCUCGGAAUCGAGCCCGGAACCUCGCGUGGUGACUGUACACCUCGUCGCCGUUGCCGCGGACAACGUGCUCUCUGGCGCCCGUGGAUCCGUCCAGGAGGACCGCCACCCUCGACUUCGUCUUCCCCGAGCAACAAGUGGAGCUGGGACGUCUCGUACAUUCGCCAUCGACACCGUCAUCUCCGCGUACAUCUUCGCCGUCCGCCGUCGUUUGCCGCUACUCCGGUUCGUCCCCGACCACCCCGACCACGUCUCUGAGUUCACUGUGAGCUCCUCUGCCCGCUUCCCCUGCUCGCCCCCUCGAUCCGUCGCCGUUUAGCCUCCCCUCAUUUCGGCGGCCAUGGACGGGAGCUCGAGCUCUUGUGUGUGUGCGCGUACUGCUACCGCGUAGCUGCUGUUGGUGCUUCUCCUAUGCCGCUGCCUCCUACUGCUCUACUGUGCCGCCGCCGUUGGCUGAUGCCGCUGCCACUGCCGCUUCUUGCCGCUGGCGCUGUUGAUGCCGCACUGCUUGCCGCGGCCGCGGUCGCUCUUGCUGCUGUUGCCUGCUGCUCGCCGUAGGCCGCGACUGCACCCCAUGCGCUCAACUGCACACCCGCGCGUGCCAGCCUGCUCGUGCCCAUGGUCGCUCCCGUGCGGGCUCAUGGUUGUGGCUGGCCGUAGCCGCCGUGUGCCUGUUCAUGCGUGCACUGCCACGGUGAAGCCGGAUGGGCUAUGUCCAGUGCCCAGCAAGCCGGCCUUGUUUUAAUUACUAGUUAGAUUAGCUACUAACCUAUGGCAGGUGGACACCUCUCCUCUAAAUAUCCACUUAAAAAGAAAUGCUAAAAUAUGUGUGAAGACGCCUAGGGCCCACUGGUCCCAUUGACCAGUCAAACUGCUGACUGGGAUAACCCAGUUGAUGACAUACGGGUCCCAUGUAAUUAACAGUCUAAAUAGAUCCCUAAGUACAACCACUGCCGCUGCUUACUGUAGUUACUGUAGCUACUAGCUAGCUUUUGUAUCCUAUCCUAUAUACCUAAGAGAUUCAUCCUCACUAACCUAUUUAUCUAAACAUGCAGCCUAUCCACGUCAUCCAAUAGGUCCUACAUGUACAAAUGUUUUCCUCCUCUCUGUAACCUUCCAUUAGUAAUUUCAACCAUGCUGCAUGGCACGAACUGUAAGUCAAAGACGAACAUAGGGCCUUUCCACAUUCCAUCGUCCAUCCACUAUCCAUAGGCCCCUUCGUCUCUCACCUGGGCCCUGUGCUCCAUAUAACUGACGUGAUCUCGACCGUCUCUCCCAAGUAUCCCAUCGAGCCCUCUCUCCAUUCAGAAAAAUGAAAACCAAUCCUUUUCAUGAGGUUGUGGCGGAGAUCUCUGCAGGAGGGCGCUCCCCUCGCUUUGAAUAUCCUACUACCUGCAUCCGGUGACUCUUCUGCUCGGGCAGGAACGCAAGUCCGCCUCGCUCUGACUCCUAGCUCCAGCACGACCACUGAUCCGCCUCACCUCCGACGACUGUCAGGCUUCGGCACGAGCACGACUGCCUGUCGGCCUCGCCUCCGGGGGCUCCCCUGGAUUCUCUUGGCCUGCGGUCCCAUUGCCGAUGGGCUCCUCCGGCUCGGUCGUCGUCGCCUAUGGCGUUGACUUGAAUUUCGUCCUCCCCUCUACUGUCUCCGUUCCGGCGCACCUGGGAAGGGAAGAGAACGACCUGUCUGGGAACUUUCCCAAAUUUUAAUCCGCAAACUUGCAGUUCAGCGUUCAAGCUAAUGUGGAUGAAGGUGGAGGAUAUGGUGUUGUUUUUGCCUCAAUUGGCGUUGACACAGUACGCCCCAGCCCUCAGUGGCUGCUGCUGUUGCGUGUGAAGAGGCAGGCUCACCCUCAAGAAGACACCUCUAUGGACUGACACUCUCAAGUGCCCACACUACUUUACUGAAUCACAGUUGAUGUAAGCAUGUACACUACUUACUGGCCUUACUUGAAAUCACUCGCAUCAAUCUGGGUGCAGGGCAGAUGUCUUUUUUAUAUGUGAGUUUUCUUUACUCCAAUUA
Triticum dicoccoides is the source of this 2188-nucleotide long non-coding RNA. RefSeq lists it as uncharacterized. The record is from RefSeq and is a predicted model, not a curated record. NCBI's taxonomy places the organism in Eukaryota, Viridiplantae, Streptophyta, Magnoliopsida, Poales, Poaceae. The transcript is spliced from 2 exons.